RNAcentral lists this ribosomal RNA (499 nucleotides) under uncultured bacterium. RNAcentral's name for it is "partial 16S ribosomal RNA". It matches the Rfam family "Bacterial small subunit ribosomal RNA", at positions 28 to 507 of the family's 1533-position model. The record is from RNAcentral.
GACGAACGCUGGCGGCGUGCCUAAUACAUGCAAGUCGAGCGGACUGAAUGGGAGCUUGCUCUUGUUCGGUCAGCGGCGGACGGGUGAGUAACACGUGGGCAACCUGCCCGCAAGACCGGGAUAACUCCGGGAAACCGGAGCUAAUACCGGAUAACACCGAAGACCGCAUGGUCUUUGGUUGAAAGGCGGCGCACGCUGCCACUUGCGGAUGGGCCCGCGGCGCAUUAGCUAGUUGGUGAGGUAACGGCUCACCAAGGCGACGAUGCGUAGCCGGCCUGAGAGGGUGACCGGCCACACUGGGACUGAGACACGGCCCAGACUCCUACGGGAGGCAGCAGUAGGGAAUCUUCCGCAAUGGGCGAAAGCCUGACGGAGCGACGCCGCGGGAGCGAAGAAGGCCUUCGGGUCGUAAAGCUCUGUUGUGAGGGACGAAGGAGCGCCGUUUGAAGAAGGCGGCGCGGUGACGGUACCUCACGAGGAAGCCCCGGCUAACUACGUG